UCACAUACCAAAGUAGAGUAAAGAUCAUUUAAUCCAGUUAACCAACAUCUAUCUAAGAUUUUCUUUUAAUGAAGUAAUUUAUUGAUUGGCAUCCGGAGGAUCCAUAGCAGAGCAAGAGCGACAUGAGCUUAACAGCACUUUUACUAAAAAUAAAGCCGAAAGCAGACAUCUUAUAUGAGUUACAGGUUGAAUUGGAAGAUGACCCAAUACUAUUUUCGCAUUUAACAGUGGUAUUCAGCUGGUGCUUCUCUCUGUCAGCAAAAUCACAAAGCUCCAAUCAUGUGGCAGAGGAAGAGAAUGUAGGAAACUGAGCAUUGAUCAUGAGCUUCAGAAGAUAAUUGCACUGUUCAGUGACUCUUCAAAAAGAUGUUCUGAUGGCAUCAAAUCUCUAGGUGCAUUUGUAUGAUUGCAUCUCCCAAUUCCCAACAUACGACAGAAGGCAAGCAUUGAAAAAUGAAAGAUUACAGCUUAAUUUUUGCGUUACUGCCACAAAUGCAUGAACAUGUUUUUAGUAGUAUGAGGCAUUAAAAGUGAAACCUGCACUUUUGCAAAAAUAAGUAUAGACUUUAGUUGCAAGUUCACCAAUGCAAAAUAAACGAUUGAAGGUCUCUUCAGAGUAUUCAUUACAACAGAAGCAUCUAGAUGGACCAUGCACAUCAAUUUUUCUGUGAAUAUCUUCGAUGGAAAGCUUGUGCUCAAGUAACCCUGUACAUGAAAAAAGGUGCUUUAAAGGAAAUUCUAUUGUGCCAUAUUUUAACACAAGCGAGUGCAGAAUUCUGAGUUUGCAUGAGAAUAUUCCAAGCUGAUUCACAUGUAAAAAAGCAGUUCGGUGAGCAGUCCAAAUUGGGAAACAUCACUGGAAUCAUUAAAUAAGUCAUUAUACUCUCAUAUUUCUCGUCUAAGUCUUUAUCCCGCAUCCGUGACUUUGUCUCAGUCCCGUCGUCGCUUUGGUGCAACUAUCGUCCUCUGUCCAAAACCUAAAAACUGUUGUGACCUAUCAAACACUCAUACUAUUGUCUAAGUGUGUCUAGUGAACACAAGAAGUAGAAUUACGAGUUUGCAUGAGAAUGUUCCAAGUUGUUUUAAAUGUAAAAAUAACCAGUUUUGGCGAGCAAUCCAAAUAGGGUUAUAUUUUUUAUAUGUUCCAAGUUGUUUUAUGUUUUAAAUGUAUUCCAUUUAGUAGCUCAAGACUUACACUACCGGUUCUUGGGGUUGAUGUAGUGUUUUCGCACUUUGAUGUUGAUUUUCAGAUAUAUUUUUGCACUUAUCUAUGUUAUGACAGUUGAACAUCCCUUAUAUUGUUCGUUAUGAUUAUUUGUGUGUUUCUUCUAGAAGUGUUGACCUGGGUAACCAGCUUUGAUAUAGGUCCAAGGCCAGACCAUUUGUCCCACAAAAGGAAAGAUUAUUCAAGAUUACCUUGUUCUAGUUUCCACAGUAUCAAUGGUUCACACUUCAUAGUAAUGCUUAGUCCACAAUAAUUUUCUCCAAAUGUGUGACUGCCCAUAAAUCCAUUUCUUAGCAACAGGGUAAAUAUGUUGCAAUCUUUAACCUGAUGUUCACGUAUUAGUUCCCGCAGGUGAAAAAAGUGUAAAUUUUACCUUUCCUGGUACAACUUUUUUUCUCUGACUCUCUAUCUCUUUCCUCUUCGUUUUUCCUUCUUUUUCUAUUUCAAUAAACAUGCUGCCCUUAGAAUAAGAGUUCAACUUAUAUUGAUAACUGAUGCUUGAUGGAGUAUAAAUAGGAUAGGCAUAUAGAUUAUCUCGUUCCAUCAAUAAUACCGAAAGAGUAAUUACAAUGCAGNNNNNNNNNNNNNNNNNNNNNNNNNAAGUAGUGAAAAAGCAAAAGAAUGUAGUACUUUGCUACUUUAGGAAGUACAAAGCAGAAGAAAAGUAAUUAUGGGGCAGUCAUUAAAUAACAGAAAAGACUGAUAUCUUCUUAAGAAUAGACGCUACGAAAAGUACCAAGUCAAAUUCUUUCACUACGAGCCUGCAUAAAACUUUUGGAGUGAACAACAUAGCAAUUGGUUUAGAUAUCUUGACAACCAAGGGGUGUGAAGUUCAAUACAUACCUCAUGCCAUUUGAUCAGAUGUGCAACUUUAAUUCAGUGAGCAGUAGUUCUCGGAGUUUCAGGAAGAGUGCAUAAUAGAAACUUCACUUCUGCCUUUAGUUUCCUUACAUCUAAUGAAUCAAAU
RNAcentral lists this long non-coding RNA (2192 nucleotides) under Nicotiana tabacum (common tobacco). Its description in RNAcentral is "long non-coding RNA (NTAB_LNC002308)". Lineage: Eukaryota; Viridiplantae; Streptophyta; Magnoliopsida; Solanales; Solanaceae. The record is from RNAcentral.